AGGGAAUCUUCCACAAUGGACGAAAGUCUGAUGGAGCAACGCCGCGUGAGUGAUGAAGGGUUUCGGCUCGUAAAACUCUGUUGUUGGAGAAGAACAGGUGAUAGAGUAACUGUUAUCAUCUUGACGGUAUCCAACCAGAAAGCCACGGCUAACUACGUGCCAGCAGCCGCGGUAAUACGUAGGUGGCAAGCGUUGUCCGGAUUUAUUGGGCGUAAAGCGAGCGCAGGCGGUUUUUUAGGUCUGAUGUGAAAGCCUUCGGCUUAACCGGAGAAGGGCAUCGGAAACCGGGAGACUUGAGUGCAGAAGAGGACAGUGGAACUCCAUGUGUAGCGGUGAAAUGCGUAGAUAUAUGGAAGAACACCAGUGGCGAAGGCGGCUGUCUGGUCUGUAACUGACGCUGAGGCUCGAAAGCAUGGGUAGCGAACAGGAUUAGAUACCCUGGUAGUCCAUGCCGUAAAACGAUGAGUGCUAAGUGUUGGAGGGUUUCCGCCCUUCAGUGCUGCAGCUAACGCAUUAAGCACUCCGCCUGGGGAGUACGACCGCAAGG
Molecule: ribosomal RNA, 547 nt
Filed under: uncultured bacterium
Lineage: Bacteria
Description: partial 16S ribosomal RNA
Rfam family: Bacterial small subunit ribosomal RNA
Source: RNAcentral